Long non-coding RNA from Salarias fasciatus (jewelled blenny), 164 nucleotides. RefSeq lists it as uncharacterized. The record is from RefSeq and is a predicted model, not a curated record. NCBI's taxonomy places the organism in Eukaryota, Metazoa, Chordata, Actinopteri, Blenniiformes, Blenniidae. The transcript is spliced from 3 exons.
ACAGUAGCGCAACGACAACUUAAAUAAAUCUAGAAAUAUAUGUUGUUGCAUUUUUAAAUUGAAGUGCAGACACAAUAUUGUAAAAUGAAGUUAUUUAGAUAAAACAGUAUAAAUAACAGCAGCGCAACAGUAACUUCAUAAACAAAUCUAGAAAUAUUUUAUUA